AGUGAACGCUGGCGGCGUGCCUAAUACAUGCAAGUCGAACGGAGUGGCGCACGGGAGAGUAAUGUAUAGCUAAUCUGCCCUACACUAGAGGACAACAGUUGGAAACGGCUGCUAAUACUCUAUAGUGUAGGAUGAGGCUAUAUUGUAUCAGCUAGUUGGUGAGGUAAUGGCUCACCAAGGCUAUGACGCAUAACUGGUCUGAGAGGAUGAUCAGUCACCCUGUAACUGAGACACGGUCCAGACUCCUACCGGAGGCAGCAGUAUGGAAUAUUGCUCAAUGGGGGAAGCCCUGUCGCAGCAACGCCGCGUGGAGGAUGACACUUUUCGGAGCGUAAACUCCUUUUGUUAGGGAAGCGGUACCUAACGAGUAGGCACCGGCUAACUCCGUGCCAGCAGCCGCGGUAAUAC
RNAcentral lists this ribosomal RNA (408 nucleotides) under uncultured bacterium. Its description in RNAcentral is "partial 16S ribosomal RNA". It matches the Rfam family "Bacterial small subunit ribosomal RNA", at positions 29 to 526 of the family's 1533-position model. The record is from RNAcentral.